This is a long non-coding RNA of Thamnophis elegans (Western terrestrial garter snake), 101 nucleotides long. RefSeq lists it as uncharacterized. The record is from RefSeq and is a predicted model, not a curated record. The transcript has 2 exons. NCBI's taxonomy places the organism in Eukaryota, Metazoa, Chordata, Lepidosauria, Squamata, Natricidae.
CGAGGACCAGAGAGUGCUGGCUUCAGAUCAGGCUGGAGACAGGAGGUCCCUUCGCGGGAGGAUCAAAACAGGCCCUCAAAUACUAGAAGACAGCUAUCAAG